AAGAAGUCAGGCCGGAUUAAGCCAUAGCACGGUAAGAGCUAUGCUGCCUGUGAGCCCCGUCCAAGGACGUUAAAUGAAGUCAGGCCGAAAGCCACGGUUCGAGCAAGCCGUGCUGCCUGUAGCUCCAUCGUGGGGAUGUAAAAACCCGGGAGGCUGCAAACCAUGGAAGCUGUACGCAUGGGGUAGCAGACUAGUGG
This 197-nucleotide long non-coding RNA is filed under the name dengue virus type 1. Its description in RNAcentral is "Dengue virus 1 partial sfRNA1". Lineage: Riboviria; Orthornavirae; Kitrinoviricota; Flasuviricetes; Amarillovirales; Flaviviridae. The record is from RNAcentral.